UGGAGGUAGUGACAAUAAAUCACAAUGCGGGACUAUCAGUCUUGCAAUUGGAUUGAGAACAAUGUACAACUCUUAUCGAUAAGCCAUUGGAGGGCAAGUCUGGUGCCAGCAGCCGCGGUAAUUCCAGCUCCAAUAGCGUAUAUUAACGUUGUUGCAGUUAAAAAGCUCGUAGUUGAAGUGUGGGUGAUCGCUGUUGUGAGACUUCGGUCUCUCGACAGUAAGUCACCCCCUUCCAGUAUCCAGUAGUGGGUAUUCACUUACUUACUACUGUGUGUUGGUCGUUUACUGUGAGAAAAUUAGAGUGUUCAAAGCAGGCGUUUGCUUGAAUAGAUUAGCAUGGAAUAAUAAUUGAAGGCUUUCGUGUUCGAUUUGAUUGGUUUGUUCAUGGAAGCAAGGUUAAAAGGAACAGUUGGGGGUAUUCAUAUUCACU
This 430-nucleotide ribosomal RNA is filed under the name Blastocystis sp. subtype 1. RNAcentral's name for it is "SSU rRNA". It matches the Rfam family "Eukaryotic small subunit ribosomal RNA", at positions 459 to 902 of the family's 1831-position model. The record is from RNAcentral. Lineage: Eukaryota; Bigyra; Opalinata; Blastocystidae.